GGGCGUUUAGCGCAGUGGUAGCGCGUAUGCUUUGCAAACUAGCGCCACGGCACUAGAAGAUGUAUAAGGUCCAGGGUUCAAUCCCCUGAACGUCCA
This 96-nucleotide transfer RNA is filed under the name Ephemerocybe angulata. RNAcentral's name for it is "Coprinellus angulatus tRNA". It matches the Rfam family "tRNA". Rfam says of the family: Transfer RNA (tRNA) molecules are approximately 80 nucleotides in length. Their secondary structure includes four short double-helical elements and three loops (D, anti-codon, and T loops). The record is from Rfam by way of RNAcentral. Lineage: Eukaryota; Fungi; Basidiomycota; Agaricomycetes; Agaricales; Psathyrellaceae.